RNAcentral lists this long non-coding RNA (6047 nucleotides) under Gossypium raimondii (Peruvian cotton). RNAcentral's name for it is "long non-coding RNA (GRAI_LNC011216)". Lineage: Eukaryota; Viridiplantae; Streptophyta; Magnoliopsida; Malvales; Malvaceae. The record is from RNAcentral.
UUACUCUCAAGCAUAUCCUCCUCCAUAGAGUCAUCACCAGAACUUCUAUCCAAAUUUAAUUUUUCCGAGUAGGUCGUCUCAGCACUGUCAUUUUUAUUACCCAAGUCUACAUUUGUGACAUUCUUGCCAUCUCUCUCAUCAACAGGUGCCUUGUUCUCAGGUGGAUCUUCAACAUCCAUUGGAUGUGAUUCACCACUAAUUGGGACAACAUUACUGGAUGAUGGUUCCACCAUCUCUGGCUUUACAACAUCUAAGUCUAAUUUGACAUUAUCAGCAAGUAUAUUAUCCUUUAAUUCAAUCUUUUCAUUAUUUGAGACAGAAUCAGUAGAUAUAGAAUCAGAUUUUACUUGCAACCCUAAAUCAGGGCUGACCUCAGAUACCUGGAUGUUCGGAGCAGAAGAAUCAUGCACAUCAUCCUCGUGUGGAACCUUCAAACCCUCGUUCUCCAGCUGCACCUUCGAAUCUUCAAUGUCCAGCUGAGGCUUUGAAUCAUCACUCUCCAGCUGAGGAUUUGAACCCUGCAGUUCGCCCUUUGGAUCAUCAUUCUCCACCUCAGGCUUUGGAUCAUCAGUCUCGAACUGGAGCUUAGGAUCCUCACCCUCCACUUUGAUAUCAGUAUUCACAUUCUCAUUUUGCCCUGAGCUCUCUUUCUCAGUAGAUGGUACCUCACAUACCACAUUCUUGGUAACCGUUAUCUCAGUCUGAAUAGUGGUGGUUUCAGAAACAAGCUCCUUUUCCACCAAGCUGUCGCUUCCUUGAACUCCUUCAUGACCCAAAGCAGCUGCACUCUCAUUAAUGUCAACAUGAACCUUCACCCCACUCUCCUUCUCAAUCUCACGGCCACUAUGAUCCACAUCAUCUUUAACUGUCUCAACAAUAACUGGAAUUGCCUUUUCAAUCCCUCGCUCAUCUGUAGGCUGGGGAUCAGAAUUAAAACCAUUAUCUUCCUCAGUUUCACCAUUUUCCCUUUCCAAUCUAACGGCCUCAUCCAAACGUCUUACCAACUCCUCUUUCAAGCCCCGAGUUGUCAGUUUCCGCCUCUUAAGUUCUUCUUUCAACUCUGUAACCUUCCAUUGAUCAAUUGGUCUAUUGUCAAGUAUUUGAUAUUUUGAUGACAUCUUUUCCAACCCAAACUCACCUUCAAACCUACUAGAAAAGGUCACAUUUCUCAGUCAUUCACCAAAAAAGCCAAACAAAAAAGAUUCUAGUAAAACAUGUGCAGUAGAAAGAAAGCGCCAACAAGACCAAAGAAAGCAUGUUAUACUGCAAAAUAAAGUUAAAUCGUGCUUAUAAGGUAGAAGAAAUAAAGGAGCUGAAGGAAUGAUAUAUAGCUGUUUAAACAAUUUGAAUAAAUGCAGCAAAGCCAAUAAAAUAAUUCCAGGAAAUUAACCCAGAAGAAUAGCAAAUCUUCAUGUAAAAUAUAGAAAAGGAAAGCAAUGAAGUAUUUAGUUAACACAAAACCUGACACCACAAAACGAGGGUUUAAAAAAAACCCCUUAUGUGCCUGGACAAAGAAUAUAUACAAGAAAGCUCCCCUUUCUCCCAAAAAGCACAAAUACGAACAAAAUAAGGCAUAAAAAACAGUAAAUACAUUUCCAGCCCAAAUUUUUUCUUUAUCCUAGCUUCGGUAAUGAAAAAUAAAUUCAUAACCAGCAAGAAACGAAAUGCCGAUUUAACAAGAAACUAAUGAACUGAAACAAUCGCACCCAAAACUAAUCGUAUUUAUAAAAAAAAAUUGUAAUAACACCCAUUAAAAAUGCAUGCAGAGAGGAAAGAAAUAGAGAUUACUCACAGGCCUAUAUAUUUGGGAAGCCACUACAACCACACUUCCCUUACAGGAGAAUUGAAAUUUUAUCCCAAAACUACCCUAAUUUCAACAGACAAAACCCACCAUUAGCGCAAACCCUAGUUUUCAACAAAGAGAAAGUUAUCGAAAAUAAGGAAAAAUUAGAAGAAAAAACAAAAUAAAAAAAAAGUAAAUGGAAAAUAGAAAAUGAAUUUUAUGAGAGCGGUGGAUGAGCAAUUGAUUUUUAUUUUUUGGCUGUUGUGAAUAUAAUAUAACCUGGUUGUUCUUUUCUUUUUAGGAUUUUGAGAGAGAAAAUGGGGAGAAAAUUGAAACAAUGGUGAAAUUAGGGUUUUAAAAAAACCAUUUGCCUCUGUCGUAUUAUCGAAUCCAAAAAGGCAGAGACCAAUUGUUCUAGAAAAACCCAUUUUGGUUUUAUUCAAAUGCCUAAAUUGCCCUUCUUGAUCGUUUUUUCAUCAUAAUUGAGGUGGCAUAAAGGAUUUCAAAAUUAUAAAAUGGAUCUACUUUUUUGGUAAAUACUUUAAAUUUUAUGUAUAAUUAAAAAAAAAAGUAAUAACUCAAUUUCUUUUAAAACAACAUUAUCAAUAUUUAAAAUAUAUGUAAAAUAUUUAAAAUGACAUUUAAUAGGCUAAAUUUGAUUAAUAUGCCCAGGUUUUUUUUCAAUUUGACCUUUAGAUCUAUUUAAAAUUAAUUAAGAAAAUAUAUCGUUUUUAGGAAAGAGAAAGUGAAAACUUGUCCAACUGGGUGCAUUUUCUGCACAGAUAGUAGGCCCCUUGCAUGAGAGACGCAUGCAAGAAUCCGACCUCUUACCGGUAUCCAUAAAUUUCAGGGAUCGGAGGCUCCCCGUCUAUUUAUAACAUAAAAAAAAUAUUUAGACUUAUAAAAAAAAUAUUAACAUAAUUAAAAAAAUGAAAUUUUAAAUUUCGUCUUACCAUUGCUAAUUGGGCAGUAAAAAUAUGGUUGUCGUCGAAGCAAAUUAGAGAGGUGUCCAUUUUCAAGAAAUUGACCCGAAUGAAUAAAAUUCAAUAUAAUUAAAAAAUAAUAUUUUAAAUGAAAAUAUAAAUAAAUAUUGAAUAAGAAGCUUGAGAGAAUUGAGAGAAGAAUGUGAAUGAAAAAAAUGAAAAUUGGGAGGUAUUUAUAAGUUAAAAAAAAUUUAUUGUUGGGAGAUUUUAAAUUUUUUUUUGACAAUUUCUUUUGAUCGUUUGGCGCAGCAACGAUCAAAAAACCAUUGUAUUUUACCGUUGAAAGAAAGCACGCCCAGCUAAACACACUUUCACUUUCUCCCUCCUAAAAAUGGCCUAUUUCCAUAAUUAAUUUUAAAACUAACCUAAAGUCUAAAUUAAAAAAAGCCCAGCAUAUUAAUCAAAUUUAGCCCAUUUAAUAUGACUCUUAUUUGUGCAAAAACUUUAAAGUGGGACAAAAUUUACCAUUAUAAUUAUAAAUAUAAUUACAUCCAUAUUAAAUAUUUUUAUAAUUUGUGAAAUUUUAAUAAUUUAUUUUUUCAUAAAUGUAUUUAUCAAUUAUAAACACUAACAUUUUGAACUGUUAAUACUUUAAAAAUCUUCAUCUAAUAGUUUUAGGUUUUUGCCUUAAAAUAAAAUCUAAUCUCAUACGAAGCUCAAUCCAAGGUAUGAGAUGAAGAGAAGAACCUCAAUCAUCAGGUUCAAAGCACGUUGCACAUACAUAAAUAAAUGAUAAAAACCCUGGAUGAAACUACACAUACUUAUAACGAGUAAGCCUACAUUCCCUUUUAACAAAUCUAUGUAAAAUUAACAUCCAGAGUAAAAGUUAAAUUCUACAAAAUCAGGUUCAUAAGAGUUGAGGCUAUUGUUCUGUAGGAAAACCAAAUUAGAACAAAGGAUAAUCGAUCCAUUACUACAGAGAGAUCUCAGUUUUGAAGGAUUUUAGUGCUAAAUGGAACUUGAACUCAAGCCCACAAGUAGCCGGCAGAAAAACCAAUACCCAUCACUGGACAAGUUCCCUCUGCACGGCUGCAACAAUUCCUUCCUAUAAAGCAAAACCUGCAGACCUGCAAACAUGCAAUUAUGUGACAGUUCUCUUACCAUUAACUAACGUACAGACCAACCGAUAUGAAAACCAGAAGAGCAGCCAGGGAUAAAACUAUAGCCUCAGCUCUACUGCUAGAUGUUUCUGCCAUGUGCUGCUUGCUUUGCUGCAACUUGUUCAUCUGACAAAGGCAAAUAGUAGAUACGAGGAAUUGCUUUGGUUUUCCAAAAUAGAUCAUCCAGAGUGACAAUAGGAGGAUCUACUUUCUCUGCCGGUGGCGGAGGAAGAGGGAGCCGUUCUCUAACUGGUGGAGGGUUAGACAAAGGCGGUGGAGGAAGUGCAGAAGGUGGUGGAUGCUGCUGUCUAGAAACCUGCUGACGUGGAGAGGGCUGGGGCUGAGAAGCAGGUUGAGCUUGAGGAGCAGUAGAACCAGAAGUCCCAGGAGUAGUUGGAGUCUGUGGUGGAGCAUCAAGCCGGGUUUUAACUUUCUGGGGAUCAACAAAGUCAGCCACCAAUAGGCGUCCACCAUUAGGUGGCCAUUGAAGGUUGUAAACAGCAUUUCUUGUCUCUAUUGCUUCUUCUACAGAUGAAUACUGCACCAAUAAAGCAAUUCCCAAAGCUGAUUAGAUAUAUUGAAUCAGUCCAACAAUAAAAAGCCAAAAUGAAUAAUUGAUCAUAGACCACGAAAGUCCCAUCGGAGGAGAUGGAAACAAAGCAAUAAGUCUUACUGUAACAUAGCAAUGGGUCUUAAUAUGGUCCAUCCAGAAGCUUGUUACAGUCCCAGUUUUCCCUAGAAGUUCUUGUACAGCUUUCAAGGUAAAAGGGCGAAGAAAAUGAUCAAUUCUGAGGGAAUUGGUUGGAGCAUUUUGUGAAGGGGGAACUGCCAAAUAAGAUGAAACGUAAACCAUUCAGAUGUUAAAACAACAAUCAGUAGAAUUCAAUUCGUAUCAGCUGACUGAGAGAUGACAACUCACCAACUCGUUCCUUUGGUGUACCUUCACUUGCCGUUGAGUCUGAUCUAGAGAAGUUACGUCUCAAAGCAGCAGGCUGAGGGGUGUCUUUAGGUGUUGUGGUGGGCGCAAGAUUGCCUUGAUGUUCUGGAACUUUUAUAUUGUCAGAAUUCCAUUUGCGCCGUUUAGAAAGCUCAUUAUUCCCAACAGGUUCCUGAUCUGUAUAGACAGCUCGUCAGGUGACAAUCACCAUUCACCCACAAGGGAACUAUUAAUUUCAUUCUCACGACUGAUCAAAAUUCUAAAAUGUAUUCCCUUGGUAACAGAGAAAGCUCAAUAUUAAAAAUACCAAUAAUUUUGUUGUCUAAGGCUCCAGGUAGUCACAGGAACCAAUAAAAGGAUUAAAAAUGAACAACAAAGCAAUUUCUAGCCGAAAACUAUAUACAUCAUCUUCAAAACCAAAGCUGCAGCACUCUAAAGUAAAGCUCUUCCAAAUCAUGCACCAUCCAUGGAAAAAUAGUGAAUACACUAUCAAAUACACAAGAAUUUAAAACAAUAUUAUCACAUUCCACAAGUGCAACUGAAGCAGAUCAAGUUUCAAAAAACCAAUUUAAAUUAUUUGUCUUAAGAAUUACCGUUAAGUACAUGCACUACUAUCCAAUCACCUUAGCUUCAGAAUGUUAUCAGUAAGGUAAAAGUAUGCACACAUGCAAAGAAAGACAGUAACAAUUACAGGCCAUUUUCACUUACCAUGAAGCUUUCUUUUCUCAGCAGGAACAAAAGACCGGCUCUUAUUCUCAACCAAGGUGUCCUUUUUAUCUAUAGAUAAAUCAUCUCUAAAAACACCAACAGGACUUUUCUCCUUGACAAUAGGUGCUCUAUUCUUCUCACUCUUAUCUCCCAUUUCAUCAGUACUACAUUUUGAAUCAAUUUGUUUACUCUCAAGCACAUCCUCCUCCAUAGAGUCAUCACCAGAACUUCUAUCCAAAUUUAAUUUUUCUGAGAACGCCAUCUCAGCACUGUCAUUUUUAUUACUGAUGUCUACAUUUGUAACAUUCUUGUCAUCUCUCUCAUCAACAGGUGCCUUGUUCUCAGGCGGAUCUUCAACAUCCAUUGGAUGUGAUUCACCACUAAAUGGGACAACAUUGCUGGAUGAUGGUUCCACCAUCUCUGGCUUUACAACAUCUAGGUCUAAUUUGACAUUAUCAGCAAGUAUAUUAUCCUUUAAUUCAAUCUUUUCAUUAUUUGAGACAGAAUCAGUAGAAAUAGAAUCAGAUUUUACUUGA